RNAcentral lists this ribosomal RNA (778 nucleotides) under uncultured marine bacterium. RNAcentral's name for it is "bacterial SSU rRNA". It matches the Rfam family "Bacterial small subunit ribosomal RNA", at positions 9 to 795 of the family's 1533-position model. The record is from RNAcentral.
GAGUUUGAUCCUGGCUCAGGACGAACGUUGGCGGUGCGCUUUAUGCAUGCAAGUCGAGCGAGAAGCGUUGGUUCCGUAAGGUUCCGACGUGGAAAGCGGCGAACGGGUGCGUAACACGUGAGAAACCUGCCCCCCAGACCGGGAUAGCCCAGGGAAACUUGGAUUAAUACCGGAUGCUCUCUCCGGACCGCAUGGUCUGGUGAGGAAAGGUCCGCUGCUGGGGGAUGGUCUCGCGGCCUAUCAGGUAGUUGGUGAGGUAACGGCUCACCAAGCCGAAGACGGGUAGCUGGUCUGAGAGGACGAUCAGCCACACUGGAACUGAGACACGGUCCAGACUCCUACGGGAGGCAGCAGCAGGGAAUAUUGCACAAUGGGCGAAAGCCUGAUGCAGCGACACCGCGUGCGGGAUGAAGGCCUUCGGGUUGUAAACCGCUUUCAGGAGGGAAGAAACUGACGGUACCUCCAGAAGAAGGCCCGGCCAACUACGUGCCAGCAGCCGCGGUAAUACGUAGGGGCCAAACGUUGUCCGGAUUUAUUGGGCGUAAAGGGCUCGUAGGCGGUUCAACAAGUCGGUCGUGAAAGCCCGGGGCUCAACUCCGGGACGCCGGUCGAAACUGUUGUGACUUGAGUUCGGUAGAGGUGAGUGGAAUUUUCGGUGUAGCGGUGGAAUGCGCAGAUAUCGAGAGGAACACCAUUAGCGAAGGCGGCUCAUCGGGCCGAUACUGACGCUGAGGAGCGAAAGCGUGGGGAGCAAACAGGAUUAGAUACCCUGGUAGUC